UACAGGGGGUGCAAGCGUUGCUCGGAAUUAUUGGGCGUAAAGCGCACGUAGGCGGUCUGUUAUGUCGGAUGUGAAAGCCCUUGGCUCAACUGAGGAAGUGCAUCCGAAACUGGCAGGCUAGAGUACGUAAGAGGGUCGCGGAAUUCCCGGUGUAGAGGUGAAAUUCGUAGAUAUCGGGAGGAACACCGGUGGCGAAGGCGGCGACCUGGGACGAUACUGACGCUGAGGUGCGAAAGCGUGGGGAGCAAACAGG
This 253-nucleotide ribosomal RNA is filed under the name uncultured bacterium. RNAcentral's name for it is "partial 16S ribosomal RNA". It matches the Rfam family "Bacterial small subunit ribosomal RNA", at positions 524 to 776 of the family's 1533-position model. The record is from RNAcentral.